UACGAAGGGGGCUAGCGUUGCUCGGAAUUACUGGGCGUAAAGGGCGCGUAGGCGGAUAUUUAAGUUGGGGGUGAAAUCCCGGGGCUCAACCUCGGAAUUGCCUUCAAAACUGGAUAUCUUGAGUUCGGGAGAGGUGAGUGGAACUCCGAGUGUAGAGGUGAAAUUCGUAGAUAUUCGCAAGAACACCAGUGGCGAAGGCGGCUCACUGGCCCGGAACUGACGCUGAGACGCGAAAGCGUGGGGAGCAAACAGG
This 253-nucleotide ribosomal RNA is filed under the name uncultured bacterium. Its description in RNAcentral is "partial 16S ribosomal RNA". It matches the Rfam family "Bacterial small subunit ribosomal RNA", at positions 524 to 776 of the family's 1533-position model. The record is from RNAcentral.